Molecule: small nuclear RNA, 105 nt
Organism: Uranotaenia lowii
Lineage: Eukaryota; Metazoa; Arthropoda; Insecta; Diptera; Culicidae
Source: RefSeq, a predicted model, not a curated record
GACAUUGUCUUAGCUUCGGCUGCUAAAAUUGGAACGAUACAGAGAAGAUUAGCAUGGCCCCAACGCAAGGAUGACACGCGUAAUCGUGAAGCGUUCCACAUUUUU